Molecule: ribosomal RNA, 497 nt
Filed under: uncultured bacterium
Lineage: Bacteria
Description: partial 16S ribosomal RNA
Rfam family: Bacterial small subunit ribosomal RNA
Source: RNAcentral
GAUGAACGCUGGCGGCGUGCCUAAUACAUGCAAGUCGAGCGAACAGACGAGGAGCUUGCUCCUCUGACGUUAGCGGCGGACGGGUGAGUAACACGUGGAUAACCUACCUAUAAGACUGGGAUAACUUCGGGAAACCGGAGCUAAUACCGGAUAAUAUAUUGAACCGCAUGGUUCAAUAGUGAAAGACGGUUUUGCUGUCACUUAUAGAUGGAUCCGCGCCGCAUUAGCUAGUUGGUAAGGUAACGGCUUACCAAGGCAACGAUGCGUAGCCGACCUGAGAGGGUGAUCGGCCACACUGGAACUGAGACACGGUCCAGACUCCUACGGGAGGCAGCAGUAGGGAAUCUUCCGCAAUGGGCGAAAGCCUGACGGAGCAACGCCGCGUGAGUGAUGAAGGUCUUCGGAUCGUAAAACUCUGUUAUUAGGGAAGAACAAAUGUGUGAGUAACUAUGCACGUCUUGACGGUACCUAAUCAGAAAGCCACGGCUAACUACGUG